This 484-nucleotide ribosomal RNA is filed under the name uncultured bacterium. RNAcentral's name for it is "partial 16S ribosomal RNA". It matches the Rfam family "Bacterial small subunit ribosomal RNA", at positions 29 to 507 of the family's 1533-position model. The record is from RNAcentral.
AUUGAACGCUGGCGGCAUGCUUUACACAUGCAAGUCGAACGGCAGCGCGGGCUUCGGCCUGGCGGCGAGUGGCGAACGGGCGAGUAAUACAUCGGAACGUGCCCAGUAGUGGGGGAUAGCUCGGGGAAAGCCGGAUUAAUACCGCAUACGACCUGAGGGUGAAAGCGGGGGAUCUUCGGACCUCGCGCUAUUGGAGCGGCCGAUGGCAGAUUAGCUAGUUGGUGGGGUAAAGGCCUACCAAGGCGACGAUCUGUAGCUGGUCUGAGAGGACGACCAGCCACACUGGGACUGAGACACGGCCCAGACUCCUACGGGAGGCAGCAGUGGGGAAUUUUGGACAAUGGGCGAAAGCCUGAUCCAGCAAUGCCGCGUGUGUGAUGAAGGCCUUCGGGUUGUAAAGCACUUUUGGCGGGAACGAAAAGGACUGUGCCAAUACCACGGUUCGAUGACGGUACCCGCAGAAUAAGCACCGGCUAACUACGUG